RNAcentral lists this ribosomal RNA (429 nucleotides) under Bacteroidota bacterium. RNAcentral's name for it is "Bacteroidetes bacterium partial 16S ribosomal RNA". It matches the Rfam family "Bacterial small subunit ribosomal RNA", at positions 355 to 776 of the family's 1533-position model. Lineage: Bacteria; Pseudomonadati; Bacteroidota. The record is from RNAcentral.
UAGGGAAUCUUCCGCAAUGGACGCAAGUCUGACGGAGCAACGCCGCGUGAGUGAAGAAGGCUCUCGGUUCGUAAAACUCUGUUGUUAGAGAAGAACAGCGCAUAGAGUAACUGUUAUGCGUGUGACGGUAUCUAACCAGAAAGCCACGGCUAACUACGUGCCAGCAGCCGCGGUAAUACGUAGGUGGCAAGCGUUGUCCGGAUUUAUUGGGCGUAAAGCGAGCGCAGGCGGUCAAUUAAGUCUGAUGUGAAAGCCCCCGGCUCAACCGGGGAGGGUCAUUUGAAACUGGUUGAAUUGAGUGCAGAAGAGGAGAGUGGAAAUCCAUGUGUAGCGGUGAAAUGCGUAGAUAUAUGGAGGAACACCAGUGGCGAAGGCGACUCUCUGGUCUGUAACUGACGCUGAGGCUCAAAAGAGUGGGUAGCAAACAGG